RNAcentral lists this ribosomal RNA (219 nucleotides) under uncultured bacterium. RNAcentral describes it as "partial 16S ribosomal RNA". It matches the Rfam family "Bacterial small subunit ribosomal RNA", at positions 524 to 737 of the family's 1533-position model. The record is from RNAcentral.
UACGUAGGAUGCAAGCGUUGUCCGGAAUUACUGGGCGUAAAGGGCGAGCAGGUGGCACUUACAAGUCUGAUGUAAAAUCUCCCGGGCUUAACCUGGGAGGGGCCAUUGGAAACUGUAGAGCUGGAGUGCAGGGAGAGGCGUAACGGAAUUCCCGGUGUAGUGGUGAAAUGCGUAGAUAGUACGGGAGGAACACCAGUGGCGAAGGCGGCCCGCUGGGCA